AGAGUUUGAUCCUGGCUCAGAUUGAACGCUGGCGGCAUGCCUUACACAUGCAAGUCGAACGGCAGCACGGGUGCUUGCACCUGGUGGCGAGUGGCGAACGGGUGAGUAAUACAUCGGAACGUGUCCUGUAGUGGGGGAUAGCCCGGCGAAAGCCGGAUUAAUACCGCAUACGAUCUUUGGAUGAAAGCGGGGGAUCUUCGGACCUCGCGCUAUAGGGGCGGCCGAUGGCGGAUUAGCUAGUUGGUGGGGUAAAGGCCUACCAAGGCGACGAUCCGUAGCUGGUCUGAGAGGACGACCAGCCACACUGGGACUGAGACACGGCCCAGACUCCUACGGGAGGCAGCAGUGGGGAAUUUUGGACAAUGGGGGAAACCCUGAUCCAGCAAUGCCGCGUGUGUGAAGAAGGCCUUCGGGUUGUAAAGCACUUUUGUCCGGAAAGAAAUCCUUUGGGUUAAUACCUCAGGGGGAUGACGGUACCGGAAGAAUAAGCACCGGCUAACUACGUGCCAGCAGCCGCGGUAAUACGUAGGGUGCGAGCGUUAAUCGGAAUUACUGGGCGUAAAGCGUGCGCAGGCGGUGAUGUAAGACCGAUGUGAAAUCCCCGGGCUUAACCUGGGAACUGCAUUGGUGACUGCAUCGCUGGAGUAUGGCAGAGGGGGGUGGAACUCCACGUGUAGCAGUGAAAUGCGUAGAGAUGUGGAGGAACACCGAUGGCGAAGGCAGCCCCCUGGGCCAAUACUGACGCUCAUGCACGAAAGCGUGGGGAGCAAACAGGAUUAGAUACCCCCGUAGUCC
This 795-nucleotide ribosomal RNA is filed under the name uncultured bacterium. RNAcentral describes it as "bacterial SSU rRNA". It matches the Rfam family "Bacterial small subunit ribosomal RNA", at positions 8 to 796 of the family's 1533-position model. The record is from RNAcentral.